Molecule: long non-coding RNA, 2266 nt
Organism: Cercocebus atys (sooty mangabey)
Lineage: Eukaryota; Metazoa; Chordata; Mammalia; Primates; Cercopithecidae
Exons: 2
Source: RefSeq, a predicted model, not a curated record
UCCCUUGACCACUCAAACAGCCAGACGCCGGUGAGCAUGCCUUGGGCCCCGAGUGUGCCGGGCUGGUCCCUCUGUACGCAGCAAAAUGCACCCCAACUGCUAGAGAACUGAGAAGGGGUCUGCCCUGGUUCUUUGAUUAUCUCCGCUGCUGCUGAGAGGCCUGUGGUAACCCUGUGUGGGAAGGGGAUGUGCAGAUGUGCAGGGCCCCUCCUGUCUGUGCCAUGCACAGGGAGGCCUUUACUGUGCUUGCCGGAGGAAUGUGCUGCCAGGGGCCAGGAGCUGGAAAGGCGCUGAGCCCAGGUGACUUUCCCUCCCCGUGUGUGAGGCCGUCGCUCGGCGUCUGCAUGCUGUCAGCUGCGUCUAACAACCCCUCCUCUAGGUUGGGGAUCCUAUCCAGGAGCCCUGCGUUUUGUCAUCCAGAAGCCAUUUGAAAUGAAGAGAACAUUUACCAAUACAAAUGAAAACACACUUAGGCAGUUUCCCCCUUUGAUGCCUAAGAAAUCAUGAUACAGUCUUUGCUUGUCUGUGUUCUCAUCCAGCAUUUUUGUAUUUGCUAGGUGCAAAUAAAGUACGAUUCUAAUGAAUAAAUAUAAGUAUUAACACUUUCUUAUACUUUCACCUAAGCCAGCUUGGAUGAGGAAAGGAAGCGUCUUGAGAAAUGUGUUCUGAGAAGUAUUUUCACCUGAGGAAGCCGAUAAUUGAGAUGAGCGCUGUUUUCAUAAGCAGUUGAGCGUGCAUGGUGGUGAGGUAAUCAUGUGUGCAAGUCAAAAUUCUCAUUUUCUGUCAUGGGAAGUUACUUGAAGAAUGUUGGUGUUCCUUAUUGUAUACUUUAGUGUGCACAGUCUAAAGAAAAAGUGAGCUACUGCAAGAACUGGUGGAGACUGAAUUACUAGGGAAGAAAACGGGGAUAAAACUGUUGGAAAAAGAAGUAGAAAGGGCAAGGGAAGAGGCAUUGAAAUGAAGAUAAACAAUUUGAUUUUGAUAAUCUGGCUGCAGUUGCUUUGCCCACUCCACACUGGGAGAGAAGGGCUCACGCCGAGCAGCUGCUGUCCAGUGUUGCUGAGCGCCACACAGCAUUAGCAUGGAGAGUGGUCCUACAGAGUACGAGAAGAGGGCGUGGAGGCUCGUGGAGGCCGCUCUGCAGCCUGCUCUGCCUGGCUCUGGUCGUCGGGUGUGCUGUGUGCUUCAUGACCCUCUGUGCCCGCAGGUGUCCUCGGAGCACAUGGUGGGUGGGCAUUGGCUCUUCAAGGCUCUCCAUCUCAAUUUGCUUUGAAUUAGGGAAGCCAGGGAGCACAUGUGUAUAAAUGUGUCUUCUGGAACAGAUUGCUACUGCAUUUCUGAGAGCUUUGCAAUUUUUAUAGAAAGAUUUUUAUUUAACUUUUUAAAUGUUACUUUAGAUUGAAAGUUUGUUAUAUGGCUGUAUUGGGUGAGGCUGGGGUUUGGGCUUCUAGGGUACCUAUUACCCAAAUAGGAAACAUUGUACCCAAUGGGUAGUUUUUCAAAACUUGCGCCCAUCACCCUCCCCCUUUUGGAGUCCCCAGGGUCUGCCAUUUCCAUGGUCAUGUCCAUGUGUACCCAUGGUUUAGCUCCCAAGAAAAGACUUUUAAAGAUAACUUUAAAAACCAAGCUUCGUUUCCUCUGUUUCCAGCCUGGUUCAUUCCGUAGCGCAUCUCAUCUUCUGAGUCUUGGCUUCGCCUGUUAACGUUCGCGAUGGUUUAUGUCACUGGCGUGGUGCAGAAACCAGCCUUUUUUUGAUAUCGGUAUUUAACACGUGCUUGAUAGUUGACACCUUACCUGCUCUGUUGGACUUGCUUUGCUCACUUUGUAUUUUGCUGUCGUCUUCUGUGCUUGUUUGAGAAGCUGUUUGAAGAGGUAAGGGGUGGGCGGUUCCGUUGUGAACACGCCUCUGAGCUAGUAUGCGUGUGGCCCCUGCAGAACAGCCCCGGCUGAGCUUGGCUGUGCACCUGGCACUCAGAGUCGGGUAGCUGAGCACUCGCUCCCUUUUCUUCUCCCUGAGACUUCAAAUAGUUUCUUAAAGCGAUUAUUUUUUACUUAUCUGUCAUUUAAUGAUGACCUUAGUUUCCUCUCGUCUUUCCAGUUAGCUGUACCGGGGGGUGGGUCUGCCCCAGGGAGCCACUGCUGCCCCCUCCCCUCCUCCCUCAGGAGUGUGCAGGAUGUCUGUGCACACCAGCGCCAGCCUGCCUCCUGGGGACACCUCUCAUCACAGAACUAACAGGACCCAAAUGGCACGAGGGGUUUUAUCAGA